Molecule: long non-coding RNA, 1255 nt
Filed under: Gallus gallus (chicken)
Lineage: Eukaryota; Metazoa; Chordata; Aves; Galliformes; Phasianidae
Description: lncRNA (ENSGALG00010006770.1)
Source: RNAcentral
GUGUUGUAGUAAGACACUGAGAUGCAUGUCUUGCUAACAGUUUCUGAAUUCCAUGGUGCAUAUAGCAUGAUGAACCUAGAAACGAAGGGAAGAAGUUCAGGUGAGAAUAUAGACAAAGCUGCAGUGUUUUGGAGUAGGUUCUCUUAAUGCUUAUUCCUGUUCAUCUGUGAGAAUGAAGAUGUAGCUGUCAGUUGCGUUGCAGGAAGAGAUUUGUUCUUGGAAAUCAGGUCAUUGCAAGCAAACCAAACUACUCAGUCUCACCUGAGUUAAAAGAGGGAAAUUUUUAAGCUUCUAUCCUUGGAAGCAAUCCAGUAAAGGGCCACUUCAACUGAAAUGUGGUAAUUAAUUAAACUGUAAUAUAUUUGGGGAACUUCUAAAGUAAACUUUGUCUAAAAAGCAGCUUGGUUUUUCUAGCUCAACCGGUGCCGUUUCACUCUACAUCAACAAAAUGAACACCUAUGUAGUAUAUGGUAUAUGGGAAAAAGUAAUAGAUGCUGAAUUCAUAGCUCAGAAGUUCAUUUUGUUUUGGAAAGCAGAAUGUGAUGCCUGCCCCUAUCCAGUGGAGUUCUUGGAUGGAGAAAAGGGACAACUCAACGUGUUUAAAGGUACAGAUGCAUUCAGAGGCUGAGGUAACAGGACAGCUGUGGUGAGAGCCACAGUUCAUAAGAACAGGAGGGGGAUGUGCCUUUCCUAGUCUUACAAAGUGACUUACGUUUAUUAUUUUUUUUCUUUCAGAUUGCACCUGUAUCCUUCUCAACUCAUGUAUGGAAAAUAAGACCUGAUGCAACUGGCAUGCAGGACAGUUUCCCUUGUUAUCUGUGGCAAAGAGUCUUUAUGACUGUUUAACAAAAUGGUUCAGAUUCGUCCCAGCUCAGCUUGGACCUCCCCUGAAAGAUCAGCAGAGCAUCUGCCCUGCUUGGACGUUUCAUGCUCUGCCCCCGCCUGAAGCACCAUAUGCCAGCCACGACGUGGCCAGCUGAGGGGGCAGCUGAUCUGGGAACAGUUGGGAUCCUGCUUUCUGGUGACACUGAGCUCGGGGAAGGAACUGUGAAGUACAAAUGCACGAGGAGCUAGAACAAAAAGCAUGGGUAACUUUGCUUUCCCAAAUGAUGACUGCUCAGCCUAGCACCAGGUCAUUUGGAUUCUUUUUUUUCCCCAUACCAUUCCUAAGAACAACUCCUGUAAGUUAAAACAAUGAAAAGCUACAAAACCAACCAGCUCCAUGUAUCUAACACGUACCGCAAAACUGCUAGUU